RNAcentral lists this ribosomal RNA (301 nucleotides) under uncultured bacterium. RNAcentral's name for it is "partial 16S ribosomal RNA". It matches the Rfam family "Bacterial small subunit ribosomal RNA", at positions 509 to 807 of the family's 1533-position model. The record is from RNAcentral.
CAGCCGCCGCGGGAAUACGUAGGGUGCGAGCGUUAAUCGGAAUUACUGGGCGUAAAGCGUGCGCAGGCGGUUUUGUAAGACAGGCGUGAAAUCCCCGGGCUCAACCUGGGAAUGGCGCUUGUGACUGCAAAGCUAGAGUGCGGCAGAGGGGGAUGGAAUUCCGCGUGUAGCAGUGAAAUGCGUAGAUAUGCGGAGGAACACCGAUGGCGAAGGCAAUCCCCUGGGCCUGCACUGACGCUCAUGCACGAAAGCGUGGGGAGCAAACAGGAUUAGAUACCCCAGUAGUCCCUGUCUCUUAUAC